Eucalyptus grandis is the source of this 758-nucleotide long non-coding RNA. RefSeq lists it as uncharacterized. The transcript has 2 exons. Lineage: Eukaryota; Viridiplantae; Streptophyta; Magnoliopsida; Myrtales; Myrtaceae. The record is from RefSeq and is a predicted model, not a curated record.
CUCACGCAAGAUGGUCCCACCCCCACCGACACUCCCUCCUCCUCCGUGCGUUGGCCUUCCCUUUCCUUGGACUGAAUCCAACUAUCUUCCAUUUUCUUUUAAUUGUGACUUCACCGAAGCAGCCCUUCCAUUUUGGAUCCCACAGCCGCACGCCCCCACCGAUUUCCCCCGUUUCUGUCCACGCGUCUUCAGCAUCUUCGCCCAUGGUCAACAACCCAGCAAAUCCUCCCCUUCGGUUGACUCCAGCAACCAUCAAUCCUCUUUCUUCUCCGCCUUCAUGUCCGCGACUCCGCCUGCUGAAGCCCACAAAGCCAGCUCCACGAUUUCUUCGAAGCCCACGCAGCAGCUUCACCGUUCCUCGAUUUCUCGGCCCGCUCCAUUCGGCCGCUUGAAGGCCCGUCUCCACCAAAUCAGCAAGGUCAGUAGCACGAGAGCAGAGAUUCCAGCCAAGCUGCGAGCUUGCGUGGCCGAUUUCAGGCCAUUCCGGCCCCCGUUGGCAUCAUCGCUUUGGAGAGGAUUGAGCCUCGCCGCGUCCCCGUCGAUUUGAACCGAGCGGUUCGUUAAACAAGUCCUUAGAUGAUGUUGGUGGAGGACCGGAAGCCUCGAAGUUUGAAAAGGUGGAUAGACCAGAAUCGGUAAACAAGUUUGACUAGUAUGUUAUAGGAUAGUUCCUUUUAGAAUGAGCCGACCUUUUUGUAAAUAGUCUGGUCUUGUAAAAAAACUUGGUUGUUUAUAAAAUGUUUGUUUUGGUUUGAAAA